Molecule: ribosomal RNA, 279 nt
Filed under: uncultured Methanosaeta sp.
Lineage: Archaea; Methanobacteriati; Methanobacteriota; Methanomicrobia; Methanotrichales; Methanotrichaceae
Description: partial 16S ribosomal RNA
Rfam family: Archaeal small subunit ribosomal RNA
Source: RNAcentral
ACAGUUGCCAGCGUACUCUCUGGAGUGACGGGUACACUGUGGGGACCGCCGCUGCUAAAGCGGAGGAAGGAAUGGGCAACGGUAGGUCAGUAUGCCCCGAAUAUCCCGGGCUACACGCGAGCUACAAUGGUUGGUACAAUGGGUAUCUACCCCGAAAGGGGACGGGAAUCCCCUAAAACCAAUCUUAGUUCGGAUUGAGGGCUGCAACUCGCCCUCAUGAAGCUGGAAUCCGUAGUAAUCGCGUUUCAACAGAACGCGGUGAAUACGUCCCUGCUCCUU